UCGAGUUAGGGUUCCCCUCGAGGGCCCGACCUCCAACCCGGUGUCUAAACUUACCACUGUUGCUUCGGCGGGCCCGCCUGUAGUAGGGCCGCCGGGGGUCUCUGUGCCCCUGGCCCGUGCCCGUCGAGAGCCCAAUUCAAACUCUUGUAUAACCGUGUCCUGUCUGAAUGAUACAUAUAAAUAAGCACA
Molecule: unclassified non-coding RNA, 189 nt
Filed under: uncultured fungus
Lineage: Eukaryota; Fungi
Description: sequence contains ITS1, 5.8S rRNA gene
Source: RNAcentral